This 104-nucleotide ribosomal RNA is filed under the name uncultured bacterium. Its description in RNAcentral is "partial 16S ribosomal RNA". It matches the Rfam family "Bacterial small subunit ribosomal RNA", at positions 1379 to 1482 of the family's 1533-position model. The record is from RNAcentral.
CCUUGUACACACCGCCCGUCACACCAUGGGAGUGGGUUUCACCAGAAGUAGGUAGCCUAACCGCAAGGGGGGCGCUUACCACGGUGAGAUUCAUGACUGGGGUG